CUUCCUAUUCUUAAAGCAAUUAUUGAUUUGACGAGGACUGCUUAAUACCAAUUCAAUUAAUAAUUAAAGUCAACAAGAGUGCUGUAUUCGAAUUGAUGAGUAUAGGGAAGUUAGGGGUUUUACCUCACUGUUUGGUAAAUCUAUAUUAAGUAUUCAAUAAGAGAUAAUUAUAUUUCUCUUGUCUAUGAUCGAGUUAUGCAUAGGAAUGCGAAUUACCUUGGACUGAA
This 227-nucleotide unclassified non-coding RNA is filed under the name Hevea brasiliensis (rubber tree). The record is from RNAcentral. Lineage: Eukaryota; Viridiplantae; Streptophyta; Magnoliopsida; Malpighiales; Euphorbiaceae.